Molecule: unclassified non-coding RNA, 223 nt
Filed under: Hevea brasiliensis (rubber tree)
Lineage: Eukaryota; Viridiplantae; Streptophyta; Magnoliopsida; Malpighiales; Euphorbiaceae
Source: RNAcentral
GACAAAUACAAGACUGGAAAACUGAAGUGAAUUGGAUGAGCCAGAUCGCAAGACGGAGAGGUGGUGUUGCUGCAAUCACAAGUUGUGUAUUUGUGAUGUUGAGAAGGUGUUGUUGAUCCCAAUGCCAAAGAUGGGGAGAUAUUUGGUGGUGCAACAAGUACAGAAGAAACUCAAUUCGAUGCCUUAUUAUCUAUAGAAAUACAACAAGACAUAGAUCAAGAGG